This 629-nucleotide ribosomal RNA is filed under the name Rhodococcus erythropolis. Its description in RNAcentral is "bacterial SSU rRNA". It matches the Rfam family "Bacterial small subunit ribosomal RNA", at positions 61 to 707 of the family's 1533-position model. The record is from RNAcentral. Lineage: Bacteria; Bacillati; Actinomycetota; Actinomycetes; Mycobacteriales; Nocardiaceae.
GUCGAGCGGUAAGGCCUUUCGGGGUACACGAGCGGCGAACGGGUGAGUAACACGUGGGUGAUCUGCCCUGCACUUCGGGAUAAGCCUGGGAAACUGGGUCUAAUACCGGAUAUGACCUCCUAUCGCAUGGUGGGUGGUGGAAAGAUUUAUCGGUGCAGGAUGGGCCCGCGGCCUAUCAGCUUGUUGGUGGGGUAAUGGCCUACCAAGGCGACGACGGGUAGCCGACCUGAGAGGGUGACCGGCCACACUGGGACUGAGACACGGCCCAGACUCCUACGGGAGGCAGCAGUGGGGAAUAUUGCACAAUGGGCGAAAGCCUGAUGCAGCGACGCCGCGUGAGGGAUGACGGCCUUCGGGUUGUAAACCUCUUUCAGCAGGGACGAAGCGCAAGUGACGGUACCUGCAGAAGAAGCACCGGCUAACUACGUGCCAGCAGCCGCGGUAAUACGUAGGGUGCAAGCGUUGUCCGGAAUUACUGGGCGUAAAGAGUUCGUAGGCGGUUUGUCGCGUCGUUUGUGAAAACCAGCAGCUCAACUGCUGGCUUGCAGGCGAUACGGGCAGACUUGAGUACUGCAGGGGAGACUGGAAUUCCUGGUGUAGCGGUGAAAUGCGCAGAUAUCAGGAGGAAC